CCUACGGGUGGCAGCAGUGAGGAAUAUUGGUCAAUGGCCGUAAGGCUGAACCAGCCAAGUAGCGUGAGGGAAGACUGCCCUAUGGGUUGUAAACCUCUUUUAUGCGGGGAUAAAGGUGUCCACGUGUGGAUGUUUGCAGGUACCGCAUGAAUAAGGACCGGCUAAUUCCGUGCCAGCAGCCGCGGUAAUACGGAAGGUCCGGGCGUUAUCCGGAUUUAUUGGGUUUAAAGGGAGCGUAGGCCGGUCUUUAAGCGUGCGGUGAAAUGUUGUGGCUCAACCCCGGCGAGCCGUUGAAACUGGCUGUCUGGAGAUGUCGAGAGGUAUGCGGAAUGCGCAGUGUAGCGGUGAAAUGCUUAGAUAUUGCGCAGAACUCCGAUUGCGAAGGCAGCAUACCGGCGGCGAUCUGACGCUGAGGCACGAAAGCGUGGGUAUCGAACAGGAUUAGAUACCCGGGUAGUC
RNAcentral lists this ribosomal RNA (459 nucleotides) under uncultured bacterium. Its description in RNAcentral is "partial 16S ribosomal RNA". It matches the Rfam family "Bacterial small subunit ribosomal RNA", at positions 338 to 795 of the family's 1533-position model. The record is from RNAcentral.